UCAAACUUGGUCAUUUAGAGGAAGUAAAAGUCGUAACAAGGUUUCCGUAGGUGAACCUGCGGAAGGAUCAUUAGUUAUUGCUGGGGGAUUUAUGUAUGGGGAGAGGUAUUUUUCUGUACAUGUUUAUGUAUGGAGGUAUUUCUCUGUACAUGAUGACCACACAUUUACGCUUGCAAGUCUUGACAGGUUAUUAUAACGGGGAUGCUUUUAAGACUUUUAACAAUGGAUCUCUGGGCUCCUGCAUCGAUGAAGAACGCAGC
RNAcentral lists this unclassified non-coding RNA (260 nucleotides) under uncultured fungus. RNAcentral describes it as "partial contains small subunit ribosomal RNA, internal transcribed spacer 1, and 5.8S ribosomal RNA". The stretch from base 1 to 73 matches the Rfam family "Eukaryotic small subunit ribosomal RNA", at positions 1759 to 1831 of the family's 1831-position model. The record is from RNAcentral. Lineage: Eukaryota; Fungi.